This 253-nucleotide ribosomal RNA is filed under the name uncultured bacterium. Its description in RNAcentral is "partial 16S ribosomal RNA". It matches the Rfam family "Bacterial small subunit ribosomal RNA", at positions 524 to 776 of the family's 1533-position model. The record is from RNAcentral.
UACAGAGGGUGCAAGCGUUGUUCGGAAUUAUUGGGCGUAAAGCGCGCGUAGGCGGCCCGGUAAGUCCGUUGUGAAAGUCAAAGGCUCAACCUUUGAACGCCGAUGGAUACUGCCGGGCUAGAGUCCGGAAGAGGCGAGUGGAAUUCCUGGUGUAGCGGUGGAAUGCGCAGAUAUCAGGAGGAACACCAAUAGCGAAGGCAGCUCGCUGGGACGGUACUGACGCUGAGGCGCGAAAGCGUGGGGAGCGAACAGG